Long non-coding RNA from Bufo bufo (common toad), 370 nucleotides. RefSeq lists it as uncharacterized. Lineage: Eukaryota; Metazoa; Chordata; Amphibia; Anura; Bufonidae. The transcript has 3 exons. The record is from RefSeq and is a predicted model, not a curated record.
ACAAUCUAGAUAAAAUUCUAGAGUGCUUCCUAAUGAACACAACACAUUCAAAUGGCUAAAUAGGAGUUUAACAAACAACGUACAAAUUCUCCUGUCGUUUCAUUCUGCAGGAAACAGGAUGAGGGUGCAGUUAAUCAGACAACCACCAGGUGGCAGCAACAAGGACAGGUUAGAAACAUAAGGCGAGACUGUGAAAAGAGUGGCUGCCACAAUCUACAGAGCUGCACAGGUGAAGCGUCUGUUUCCUGGCAAAAUUAGGGAUUCCACUCAUCAUUCCAAACAUUCAAACUGCAGUGGCCACGUGCUGCUCUGUUUUUCAGCUGUAUUGCACCCACGACAGUGCUGCUUACCCUAAUUCCACUUAAAACCU